CAUUAUGUAUAAAUCCUACAGAGGCUGAGUAUUUUGCAUAAUUUAUAGAAGGAGACCGAACAAACACACACAGCAAGCGCAGGUGGAGACUCGCAAUUUAUUUCCAAAUGCCUCCUGCCUUUGGAAAGACAACACUUUUUUCAGGCACUGACAAGACACCUUGAGGACACACAUCAAUUGUCUUUAAUGAUUCUGUAUGUGGGCUAUUAAACCUGCUGCAUGAAAUCUGCCAGAGGAACUCCCUACGUAUCCUUGGGAUGAAGGAGAACUGGAAAGCCAUUAGAACCAGCAGUCAAUUAUGAUACCCCAUGGAUGGAUUUUUCAGUCGAGCGUGGUUGAGCUCAACACAAACUAAUGGGGAGUCUUUAAAUGAGCUUGACCUGCAUAUGAUUUUAAUUAGCUUUCCUGCCCUAAAGGCUUCCAUUAACUGUUUAAAAAAAAUCAAUAGAGUCAGUAUUGAUGCUGUGUGAGAGCUUAAACGAUGUCGUAACACUCCGCUGAUUCCAUGUUGAUAAAGAGCCAGAGUGCCAAAGAAACACAAACACAAUAUGGAAACUCUUGUUUACAACCCUCACAUUGAUGUGCCUCUUCUCUCAUUGUUUGUCUAAUGUCACCGAGGGGACAUUUUCUGAGAAGCAUAAAAUCUGUGUGAGCAAACAGGUGAACGAUGCUCACAAUAUUCAAUUGUUACUCAGUUUUGAGUGGAUUUGCUCAGUUUAUUUCCCUGUAAGUCUUCUUUAGGAGACGGAUGUCAUUGUGAAGUGAUUUUUCCAUUGACCAUAAGUGUUUUUUUCUUUUUUUAAUCUAUGGAUGAAUAAACAGCAAAUGCCUCUGUGUGUGAGUGUUAGCUUUGCAAGCCCCAGGAGAGACGUUGAUUCUGCUUUGGGACCCAUCAUUGAUACACUCAUGCUGUCUUGAGUUUUUGUCGUUUCUCCUUCCCUCAGUGAUUAUCACUCAAUACUCAACAACUCACCUGGACACUUGAAAAGGUAACUAUGUUCUCGCUCAUGACAUAGAUGUUGCAAUCACUUUUACUAGGUAAAUGUAAAAAAGUCAAAUAUGAAGCAUCUGAGAAUCCAAGGCCAUGAUUCUUGCCUGGACAAGGAUGGUUUGCUCUUUCUGUGUAGGUGGAGAGUUCCUCCCUCAAGUGGAGGAGUUCAAGUAUCUUGAGGUUCUGUUCAUAAGUGAGGGAUGCAUGAAGCGUGAGGUUUGACAGGCAGAUAGGUACAGCAGCUGCAGCAGUCGAUCCUUUAUAGUGAAGAAGGAGCUGAGCCGAAAGGCAAAGCUCUCGAUUUACUGGUCAAUCUAUGUUUCUACUCUCACCUACGGUCAUGGGCUUUAGGUCAUGACCGAAAGGAUACAAUCCUGGAUACGAGCAGCUGAAAUGAGUUUUCUCUGCAGGGUGGCUGGACGCUCCUGUAAAGAUAGGGCUCGGUCACCACGGGAGAUCAGAGUGGAGGCGCUGCUCCUCCACAUUGAGAGUUGAGGUAGCUCUGACGUCUCUUAUGGAUGUCUCCUGGACAUCUCCCUGAGGAGAUCUGAUGGCGGCAGCCGGGUUGCGAUCCAAUCACAGGCUUGCGGCAGCAAUCACCUUCUGCUGAUUGGUUUUAUAAUCCUCUCUGAGGAUCUCAGAUGGAGGGGAGUCAGCUGGCCAAGUAGUGCUGCUCUGAUGGCUGUCAUACUGGCGCCCCCGCCUCCCACUACCCCGGCAUACAUAUCCAGGCAUGCACACGCAUGCACACCACACCGUAGCCUUUGCUUUCAGCAAUAUCACACUUCUGACUCGGUGGUAUUUUUUUUAUUCUAUCCACAAAAGUUCAGUAAAUGUGUUUUUACAAAUGCAUAUGUGUGAUUAUGCGGGUGAUGGCUCUGACUUCAUAUAGAGAAAAGCAGGCUUUAUAGGUAAGUUAUGCAUCUAAAAUGAAACCUUAUGCAUCUUAUAGGCUUACGAGUUUAUAUGAGUGUGUGAGUUCAAGGCUGUAUCCUUGAAUGGGCAAAGAACAGAAAGAAGUAGAGAUUGCACCAAGUCAGGGGAUCCCCACUUUGUCUUAAACUCCCAGAUCAAUAAAGUUCUCAUAUUCUAACAAAGUCGCCAUACUAUGUGAGCUAAUAGUACAGAUCUGUGUUAUGUAGCCGGUUUACAAAAGAAGGUGUGUAAUGAGUUAUGGUGCUUGAAAAAACAAUAAAAAUGUAAAGUUACAUUUAAUUUAGUCCAUUUGUUGCUAAAAUCUACCCAGAAAAGUGGAAAUAACAGAAUUCCUAAUAGGGUUUUGUGUUGUACUUUUUGUAUUCAGGUUCUAAUAACACUGUUAGUCAAAAUAAAUAAAUAAAUAAAUAAUGGAUCUACAGGUCCAACAAUUUAAAAAAGACAUUCAAAACAUGUUUUUUUUAAUCAAUUUCUGGUCAUUUUCGGAGUCCUUGGGAUGACACACCGAUCAUCCUUUUGUUUUCUUAAAGACCCACUCUGCUGAAAAUUGUGUUUUUCUUGCAGCCUUUUUUUAAUGAUGGGGGAAAAAAAACAUGUUAAAAAAAUUAAGCUCAAAAUUGCAUUUCAGAGAAUUUCUUUAUUUGAAUCAUUGCAAAUCAGAAGCUGCGCAGCUUUAAAGCAACUGGCUGGUGUUUCUCAUGACAGAAAAAAAUCUCACAUUUUUUCCAAGAUAACAGUUUCCAAAAGUCUUGAUGACAAAUGAGUUACUUGUUUUAGUCAAACUGCCAGAAUCCGUUUUACUCAUAACCGUUAAAGCAAAAAAAUAAAUAAAAAAAAAA
Long non-coding RNA from Oryzias melastigma (Indian medaka), 2766 nucleotides. RefSeq lists it as uncharacterized. The record is from RefSeq and is a predicted model, not a curated record. The transcript is spliced from 2 exons. Lineage: Eukaryota; Metazoa; Chordata; Actinopteri; Beloniformes; Adrianichthyidae.